AGAGCGAACGCUGGCGGCAGGCUUAACACAUGCAAGUCGAGCGGGCGUAGCAAUACGUCAGCGGCAGACGGGUGAGUAACGCGUGGGAACGUACCUUUUGGUUCGGAACAACACAGGGAAACUUGUGCUAAUACCGGAUAAGCCCUUACGGGGAAAGAUUUAUCGCCGAAAGAUCGGCCCGCGUCUGAUUAGCUAGUUGGUGAGGUAACGGCUCACCAAGGCGACGAUCAGUAGCUGGUCUGAGAGGAUGAUCAGCCACAUUGGGACUGAGACACGGCCCAAACUCCUACGGGAGGCAGCAGUGGGAAUAUUGGACAAUGGGCGCAAGCCUGAUCCAGCCAUGCCGCGUGAGUGAUGAAGGCCCUAGGGUUGUAAAGCUCUUUUGUGCGGGAAGAUAAUGACGGUACCGCAAGAAUAACGCCCCGGCUAACUUCGCGCCAGCAGCCGC
Molecule: ribosomal RNA, 448 nt
Filed under: uncultured bacterium
Lineage: Bacteria
Description: SSU rRNA
Rfam family: Bacterial small subunit ribosomal RNA
Source: RNAcentral